GACGAACGCUGGCGGCGUGCUUAAUACAUGCAAGUCGAACGGACAGGCCCUGCUUUUGUGGGGUUCUCGUUUGGCGAACGGGUGAGUAACACGUGAGUAACCUGCCCUUGACUUUGGGAUAACUUCAGGAAACUGGGGCUAUUACCGGAUAGAACCUCCUGCUGCAUGGGGGGGGUUGGAAAGUUUCGGCGGUUGGGGCUGGACUCGCGGCUUAUCCGCCUCUUGGGGGGGUUGGGUCGUCCACAGGCUUGGAAGGGUAGCCAGCCUGGGAGUGUGACCGGCCACAUUGGCAUAGGGAUACGGCCCGGAGGCCUACGGGAGGCAGCAGUGGAGAAUAGUGCAAACAGGGCGGAGGCCUUGUGGAGCAACGCCGGGUGCGGAAUGACGGCCUUCGGGGUGUAAACCGUUUUUGCGUGUGUCGAAGCGUGAUGGACGGUAAUAGGCAAAGAAGCACCGGUAAAUUACGU
RNAcentral lists this ribosomal RNA (467 nucleotides) under uncultured bacterium. RNAcentral describes it as "partial 16S ribosomal RNA". It matches the Rfam family "Bacterial small subunit ribosomal RNA", at positions 28 to 506 of the family's 1533-position model. The record is from RNAcentral.